RNAcentral lists this ribosomal RNA (419 nucleotides) under uncultured fungus. Its description in RNAcentral is "LSU rRNA". It matches the Rfam family "Bacterial large subunit ribosomal RNA", at positions 1712 to 2105 of the family's 2925-position model. Lineage: Eukaryota; Fungi. The record is from RNAcentral.
UCUCGGCAAAUUAUCCUCAUAAGUUUGACAAUAAGAGGAACCAUUUAUGAAAAAUCAAUUAAUGUAAAAAUUAAAAAAAUCAACAUAUGAUGGUGUCACAAAAUCGGAGGCCACGACUGUUUACUAAAAACACAAUUCAGAGCAAUGAUGCAAAUCAUAGUAUUCUGGAUGAAAUUUGCCCGAUGCCAUUAACAUAAAAAAGGUUAUAGUUUUACUGUUACUAAUUGAAAGUCUGGUUAAUAGCGGUCUUAACUAUGAGGAUCCUAAGGUAGCAAAAUCAAUUGGCCAUUAAAUGUGGUCUGGUAUCAAUAGUGUAACGAUGGUCUCACUGUCUCUACAACUUGCUCAGUGAAAUUGAAUUAUCCGUGCAGAUGCGGAUUACCUCCAGGUGGACGGGAAGACCCUAUGCAGCUUCUACU